RNAcentral lists this ribosomal RNA (456 nucleotides) under uncultured bacterium. Its description in RNAcentral is "partial 16S ribosomal RNA". It matches the Rfam family "Bacterial small subunit ribosomal RNA", at positions 338 to 795 of the family's 1533-position model. The record is from RNAcentral.
CCUACGGGGGGCUGCAGUGAGGAAUAUUGGUCAAUGGGCGGAAGCCUGAACCAGCCAAGUAGCGUGCAGGAUGACGGCCCUACGGGUUGUAAACUGCUUUUAUACGGGAAUAACGCGCCUUACGUGUAGGGCUUUGCAUGUACCGUAUGAAUAAGGACCGGCUAAUUCCGUGCCAGCGGCCGCGGUAAUACGGAAGGUCCGGGCGUUAUCCGGAUUUAUUGGGUUUAAAGGGGGCGUAGGCCGCAUGUCAAGCGUGCUGUGAAAUGUCCGGGCUCAACCCGGGCCUUGCAGGUCGAACUGGCGUGCUUGAGUCCGCGGAAAGCAGGCGGAAUUCGUCGUGUAGCGGUGGAAUGCUUAGAUAUGACGAAGAACCCCGAUUGGGAAGGCAGCUUGCUGCAGCGGAACUGACGCUGAUGCUCGAAAGCGCGGGUAUCGAACAGGAUUAGAUAAGUAGUC